This 282-nucleotide long non-coding RNA is filed under the name Mytilus galloprovincialis (Mediterranean mussel). Lineage: Eukaryota; Metazoa; Mollusca; Bivalvia; Mytilida; Mytilidae. The record is from RNAcentral.
GUGAAGUAAAUAGACAAUAGUAGUGCAUUGACUUGACAUAUAAACGAUACAAGGAUUAGGCCCGAAACGGGAAAAAAGCUCUGCUAUCAAGAAAAAAAAUAUUUUCAAUUGUUGUUAUUUUGUUAUUGUUAUUUAUUUUAUUUAAAUUUUGGGUAAAUACCCCUUUCAAAAGGCCUCAUAUCUGGCUGAGAAAUAUACAUCACAAUGAACAUGAUGAAAUGUACAUCACCAGUUGAAACCCAUCGAUGGUGAACGAAUGCGUUUAAUAUCAACAAUAAGCAU